Molecule: ribosomal RNA, 253 nt
Filed under: uncultured bacterium
Lineage: Bacteria
Description: partial 16S ribosomal RNA
Rfam family: Bacterial small subunit ribosomal RNA
Source: RNAcentral
UACGAAGGGGGCUAGCGUUGUUCGGAAUUAUUGGGCGUAAAGCGCACGUAGGCGGCUUGGCAAGUCGGAUGUGAAAUCCCUCGGCUCAACCAAGGAAGUGCAUCCGAAACUGCUGAGCUUGAGUACUUAAGAGGAUCGCGGAAUUCCCGGUGUAGAGGUGAAAUUCGUAGAUAUCGGGAGGAACACCUGCGGCGAAAGCGGCUCACUGGACCAUAACUGACGCUGAUGCACGAAAGCUAGGGGAGCAAACAGG